Molecule: ribosomal RNA, 411 nt
Filed under: uncultured prokaryote
Description: partial 16S ribosomal RNA
Source: RNAcentral
CCCUCUGGGGUGGACGCGAUCAUGCGCGCGAAGCACCGCGAGACGCUGCUGGUCGCGUUCAACCCCUACGUGCGCGCCUACUUCGACCCGGACAGGCCCGGCGAUCCGCCGGACUCGAUGGUCGAGGACCAGGCGCGCCGCCAGAUCAUCCGGCUGUACAACAGCCAGGAGGCCACGUCGGUGCUCUUGAUCGGCGGAAGCGCGGCGCUGAAAUACUCCCAGGACGCCUCGGGGGUGCAGCGGGUGGACGCCCGGGCGCGGGAAAGGCCCGACCCGUCGCAGUUUCAACUGUUCGACCGGUGGAUGAACGCCAUCUGGGACGGCGGGGAGCGGGUGAUCCCCUACGGGCGCCAGGUGCUGGACAUGGACAACCAUCCGGGGGCGCUGAUCCGGGUCAACGUGCGGGGGGGC